AGGACGAACGCUGGCGGCGUGCUUAACACAUGCAAGUCGAGCGGUGACCCUCCUUCGGGAGGUGAUCAGCGGCGAACGGGUGAGUAACACGUGGGCAACCUGCCCCUCACACUGGGAUAACCUCGGGAAACCGGGCUAAUACCGGAUACGACCUCGAGCGGCAUCUCUUGAGGUGGAAAGCUCCGACGGUGAGGGAUGGGCCCGCGGCCUAUCAGCUUGUUGGUGGGUAAUGGCCUACCAAGGCGACGACGGGU
Molecule: ribosomal RNA, 254 nt
Filed under: uncultured bacterium
Lineage: Bacteria
Description: partial small subunit ribosomal RNA
Rfam family: Bacterial small subunit ribosomal RNA
Source: RNAcentral